CGGGCAGUGUUGGUUGAGCUGACAACCCUAAGAGGCUGGAGCUCGGAGAGGCUGUGGCUCACAGGAGUGAGGGGCACAGACUCUGGAGCCAGGCUGCCAGGCUGACUUCUGUCUCUGCCACUUCCUAGCUGUGUAAGAUCAGGCUCUGUGCAGACAAGAGCCCUUUGCUCCUGCUGGGACUGGCGUGCUCAGCAAACCUGACAGACAACGUGCAAAAUCAGAGUGCUUCCAGCAAAGCGGGGCGAGAACAAGGACGAGGAGGAGAUAAGAAGCAAACAGCUGCAGAAGAUCAGUGGAGAAACUCAGGCUCUUGGUGGAAAUAUGACACAGGGUGGCCAAGGACACUGCUGGGUUUCUGUGCAGUUGGCCUUGAGUGGAUGGCCUGAUGAGGCUUUUUAUCACCUUGGUCUUCGGAUGCAUCUCCACCAUGACCACAGCAGUGAGGCCCCUUCCACGCCUCUGGGUACAGCCUUCGGGAGCCCCUGAGAAGGAGUGCAUGGACUAGGGGGUGGGAGCUGACUCCAGAGAGGUGGGCAGGCCGGGAUCACAGAGCAUCUUGGCUGCACAGCCCAGGAAUCUGACUUACGUCCUGUUAGGCAACAGGCAGCCAGCCACGGGCUUGAGGCAGGAAAGCGGAAUGAUAUGAUGGGUGUUUCAGACACUUCUUUCACAGCUGUGUGGAGGAUAAGCUCCUUGCUAAGAUAAAGGAAACAUGGGCUAAUUUUCUUCUUAAAUGUACUAUAUUUUCCAAGUCAAGCCUAAAUCACUGACUUUGCUUUUCUCCGUGUAUGUUUGAUUUGAUCUCUAUAAAAGGUUAAGGAAAACUUUUAUUAUCUUAAGCCUUUGAUGAGGCCCUGAUUUGUCCUCUCCCCGCCAUGUGAAGCAGAGCACGGAGGAGUAAGGCAACUUUCCCAAGUUCGUGCAGUGGGUUCUUGGCACAACCAGGGAGGAUUUCACGGUCUGGAUUCUCAGAAUUGUGCUCUAACUGGAUCCUGCUGCGAGUCACCCACACUCACACUUACCUCCUAAAAAGUCACUUUCAACUGAGAAGAAGAGAGAUUAUGCCCAAGCUUUGGAAACUUGGCUCUGAGUCGAGGUCCCACGUUCGACUUUUGCUGAUCGCUGCCUCAGUUUCCUUCUGUGUCACCAGUCUUGCAUUGUCAAUGUUUCUCAGUGAGUUUCCCAUCAGUGCCUUCACUGCAUUAUAAAUGUAAACACCACCAAAGUUGACCUUGAGCCCAGCAUGACUCUGAGGCCCCAAAGAAACCUUCCUUAGGAACUGUGAGGAGUAAACAAAUGUUGAAUAGAGAAGUCAAUGUUGACUGCCUUCUCUUCUGACAUCUCCCAUGUACCUCUUCCUUUACUAUGAGAAUUGGUUUCAGACCCAGGAGGAUGUCAGCAGUGUCCUAACUGGCUCAGAGCUGUGAUGGCUGCUUCAUGGUCCGCCCCACUGCCCUCUAUCCCCAGAGCAUGCCCGGCAGGAAGAACCUGUGUGUUCAGGAUGUUCAUGAGGCUGCAUUUAUAGUGUACUGCAGAUUUCAUGUAAAUAUUUCUGUCAUUUGAAGUAGAGAAUGAUAUACCAUAUAUCCCUUUAAUUAAUUGAUCUCAAGCUAUGCUAUUCCCAAAGGCAACAUAAAUGUCCUUCAUACAAAAGGCUUCCAAACUGUCCAGUGACACACACAUGUUUCUGUCUGGCUUUGCUCUUUCCAUCAUGCAGUCGAGUCCUUUGCUUCUAGCCCAUCUCUCAUGUACCUACCCUUUAGUCCUCUGAGGAAAAUCACAACAACCCAGGUGAAAACCCUGAGGUCACACAAGUAAACAAAGUUUGAGCUUUUUUAAACAGGAUGUUGUUGGAUUCAAAUUGGACUUUGGGCUAAGAGGAAUGAACAGUGCCUUUUACUGCAACCCUAGGCAUCCAGGGAAAAGUACAGCAGACUUGAAAGGAACCAAGCUGCAGGCAAGUUAGGACAUUUCCAAAAAAAAUAGAAAAUAGAAAUCUGUUUGUACUUUUGGAGCAUCAACGAGUAAGCUAUUUUCAGUUAGGUUAGUAAAAGCAUGUUUAAACCUGUUUGCAGAGACAGGCUCAUAAAACAUCCUCGCCAGAAAGCAGAGACAGGAGUCGGGGGAGGUGGCAGUCCCUGUAUUUUCCCUUAGUGAACUGAGUGUUGUCCCAACAGGCAACAGGAUACAACAUUUGCCUUGGUCUGAAUGAAGCCCUGAACAGUGCAGCCGGUGCUGUAUUUCAUCGUGACACCAACUGGCCCCUAUUCUCCAAGCUCAACAUCCCCCUUCUCUCUAAAUGAAACCUAGCCUGGAACAAGGCUGUGCUUACAAGAGAACUCACAAUCAGC
Molecule: long non-coding RNA, 2351 nt
Organism: Equus caballus (horse)
Lineage: Eukaryota; Metazoa; Chordata; Mammalia; Perissodactyla; Equidae
Source: Ensembl